GAUGAACGCUGGCGGCGUGCCUAAUACAUGCAAGUCGAGCGAACGGACGAGAAGCUUGCUUCUCUGAUGUUAGCGGCGGACGGGUGAGUAACACGUGGAUAACCUACCUAUAAGACUGGGAUAACUUCGGGAAACCGGAGCUAAUACCGGAUAAUAUUUUGAACCGCAUGGUUCAAAAGUGAAAGACGGUCUUGCUGUCACUUAUAGAUGGAUCCGCGCUGCAUUAGCUAGUUGGUAAGGUAACGGCUUACCAAGGCAACGAUGCAUAGCCGACCUGAGAGGGUGAUCGGCCACACUGGAACUGAGACACGGUCCAGACUCCUACGGGAGGCAGCAGUAGGGAAUCUUCCGCAAUGGGCGAAAGCCUGACGGAGCAACGCCGCGUGAGUGAUGAAGGUCUUCGGAUCGUAAAACUCUGUUAUUAGGGAAGAACAUAUGUGUAAGUAACUGUGCACAUCUUGAGGGUACCUAAUCAGAAAGCCACGGCUAACUACGUG
Molecule: ribosomal RNA, 497 nt
Filed under: uncultured bacterium
Lineage: Bacteria
Description: partial 16S ribosomal RNA
Rfam family: Bacterial small subunit ribosomal RNA
Source: RNAcentral